Long non-coding RNA from Loxodonta africana (African savanna elephant), 336 nucleotides. RefSeq lists it as uncharacterized. The transcript is spliced from 2 exons. NCBI's taxonomy places the organism in Eukaryota, Metazoa, Chordata, Mammalia, Proboscidea, Elephantidae. The record is from RefSeq and is a predicted model, not a curated record.
CCCCCGGGAGCCCCAAGCAGAUCCCCUGGUGCGAGUUCGCCCGAGCGCCUACUUUUCGGGGCCCCCUCGCCGCCGAGCAGACCCCUCCGUGGCCCCCGCCCGGACUUGGCGACUCUGGGGGGGCGGCAUAAAGGCCGAGGCGGCGCGGCCGAGCUGGGACGUGGCGCGCGCUCCGGGCCCAGCUCCAGCCUGCUCUCAGGACCACCGUCUCCGACGUCGGGGGCCCCGUGGAGCCAGAGACCCCCACCUAGAAGAGACCCAGCUGCUACGGGGGCACGAGAAACAGUGGCGGGAACCCUGUGAUGUUGAAUAAAAUUGCAUGAAAAUCAUGAAAAA